Long non-coding RNA from Pollicipes pollicipes, 1053 nucleotides. RefSeq lists it as uncharacterized. Lineage: Eukaryota; Metazoa; Arthropoda; Thecostraca; Pollicipedomorpha; Pollicipedidae. The record is from RefSeq and is a predicted model, not a curated record. The transcript has 5 exons.
AGUAUGCAAUCACGGCGCGUCCGGUCAAGCGAAAAUUAUUCAACGAAUAAUAAUCUCUUCGAUAAUCAUCCAUGGAGAUGUUCCAUUUACACUCGAUCGGUCCGGAAAUUAUCCCCCAGAUUAGUUUCCCAUGCGCCAUUCACAGCCAACGGUCAUGGCUGGCGAAAACAGAUUCUCCGUCUUGACCAUGCUCUGAGAAUUCUCCGGGAUUCUCCCUCGCUAUGGCACUGCCGAACGUCAUUCCGAAAAAUUUCCGAUAUUCCGGAUAAUUUUACGAGAGUAUCUGCCGGCCGGACGCGCCCCGCAAAAAUGGCAAAAGUGCCUUUAAAAAUGCCGGCAAAAAUGCCUUCACAAAUAAAACAGCGUCUUCAAAAAGCAGAUGCAUACAGCAGCUGAAAAGUGGGUGCAAGUGCCAGGAGCUGGGCUCACGGUUGCCACCAAUUUCAGAAAUAGUUUUCUUUAUGUACUUGAUUGCUACAAACGAAACAUACAAACUAUUAAUUUUGAGAGUAAUUGGCUAGGACCAAGUUGGUGGAGGACGUUGUAUAGCACAUUGGCGAGUAGCUGAUUUAUUACGUUUUUGAAUUCCCAGCACAACAAGGCCACCAACAGGAAUGGCGUCAUGUGUGUGGUAUCAGUGGGGUCAGGCCGGGGCAUGGAGUGUGCCAGGCACAUUUUCCAUCACAUGCCUUUUCCAGCCUGGCAGCCUAAACGAAAAGGCUUGGGGCCAAUGCUGUGCCCUCUCUGCAGCACAGGAAGGGUGUUACAGGCACCCCAGUGCUUCCCGUGUCUACACCAUCUCGAAGACCAGAAUCUGGCAAGAAGCUGGUGGUAUCCAGCAGCACGUACAUGAUCCUGCGACGCGCGAUGCGAAAGGCUGGCCCACCAACAGUCAAGUGUACCAUCCUGCAUCUUGCUAAAGGCUACCUGUGGGAACCUGGUGGUGGCGAUGGCGAAAGGGGCACGCCGGAGGCGACAAUGUGGGUGGCGAUGGCGACACGGGAGACGCUGCGCACUUGGCCAUGCCGAGUACAUUACGGACGUUUCAUUCGC